This 345-nucleotide ribosomal RNA is filed under the name uncultured bacterium. RNAcentral's name for it is "bacterial SSU rRNA". It matches the Rfam family "Bacterial small subunit ribosomal RNA", at positions 1 to 339 of the family's 1533-position model. The record is from RNAcentral.
GUCUCACAGUUUGAUCCUGGCUCAGAACGAACGCUGGCGGCGCGCCUAAUACAUGCAAGUCGAGCGAGAAGGUGUAGCAAUACACUUGUAAAGCGGCGAACGGGUGAGGAAUACAUGGGUAAUCUACCAUCGAGUGGGGAAUAACCAGCCGAAAGGUUGGCUAAUACCGCGUACGCCUCCGGAUCUUCGGGUUCGGAGGGAAAGCCGCGCUGUGAGUGCGGCGCUCUUUGAUGAGCUCAUGUCCUAUCAGCUUGUUGGUAGGGUAACGGCCUACCAAGGCUUUGACGGGUAGCUGGUCUGAGAGGACGAUCAGCCACACUGGCACUGCGACACGGGCCAGACUCC